This 85-nucleotide transfer RNA is filed under the name Syntrophomonadaceae bacterium. RNAcentral describes it as "tRNA-Leu". It matches the Rfam family "tRNA". Rfam says of the family: Transfer RNA (tRNA) molecules are approximately 80 nucleotides in length. Their secondary structure includes four short double-helical elements and three loops (D, anti-codon, and T loops). Lineage: Bacteria; Bacillati; Bacillota; Clostridia; Eubacteriales; Syntrophomonadaceae. The record is from RNAcentral.
GCCCGAGUGGCGGAAUGGCAGACGCACCGCACUCAAAAUGCGGCGUUCUUUGAACGUGUGAGUUCGACUCUCACCUCGGGCACCA